Long non-coding RNA from Canis lupus familiaris (dog), 2945 nucleotides. RefSeq lists it as uncharacterized. The record is from RefSeq and is a predicted model, not a curated record. NCBI's taxonomy places the organism in Eukaryota, Metazoa, Chordata, Mammalia, Carnivora, Canidae. The transcript has 5 exons.
CUGCCCUUCUGUUUCCUUAUUGCAUAGUAGGGAUGACAAUGCUUGCUUCUACAGGGUGUGUGUGUGUGGGGGGGCACUGGUAGAGGUGGUGGAAAUUCAGCAAGGUAACGCCAGUACAGUGCUGGGUACAUUGAUCAACCUGGGGCCCACCCGUGAUCGCAUAAGCCUGGGAGCCACUCAUGGGUCCUUUCCCUUUGGGAGCCACUCAGAGCCAUGGACAGAGGGAGGGGCUGCUGUAAUUAGCAGACCAGCAACCACUGCUGUAGGAAAUUCUAGUCCCUGGCAGAGGCCGAUUUGUAGGGAGCUCUUUAGAUUCCAAUUCGAACCUUCUCCUGCCGUGUAAGCCCCUUAUCCUUAGCUUGGUGCUCUCUCAUGCUGUGCUGAGAUCAUGCAAAAUUAUUCAACUAAAAUCAUCCAGCAGGAAAAGCAACCGAGCAAUCACAGUUCACUGCUGAGAAGCCAUGGCCUUAACCCAGGCUGGGCAGCAGGAGCUCAGCAGGGCUGAGAGGCCAGCUUGUUUCAGUGUUUUCCAGAGAUGGGAAUGCAGGCCCCGCUGGGCUCCUCUCCUCCAGCAGGUGCUUAGCAGCGAGCCCCAGGACUGAGUGGCCAGAGAGUCUGGAUCCACUUCAGCAUCAGGCAUUAUGGGUGACCCCAGGCUUUCCUGAGCCCCUGCUCUGCCAGUUGGAGUUGCUGGUAUGAGCUAAGGAGUUUGGAGUUCACAGCCAUUGCUCCUGGGCCCAGAGUAGCAUGUCCCCUCUUGGAGUCUUGAGGGCAAUGGGGAAAAGAGAUAGAGGAAGAAAUGAGGGUUAAGAAUAAGAGCAGGAAGAGAGAGGAAGAGGACAGGUACAGGAGGAUAUCCAGGAAUAUUGUCCGUGGGAGUACAUUUAGGCAUAUCUGGGUGCUGGGCCUUGCUUAUAGGGUACUGUGUAUCUCUCCAUCCAUACCUGGAGUGCUGUGGAGACCCAGAAGAUCCUUGGCCAUAAAUGUACUCACCUCUGCACCCCUUCCUUCUCUCAACUGACCACCCAUCCAGCCAUUCAUGGAACCACCCAUCCAUCUACCCACUCAUCCAUCUAUCCACCUACCCAUCCCCCAUCCAUCGACCCAACCAUCCACCUAUCCACCCACCUACGCAUCCACCUAUCCAUCCAUCCAUUCAUUCACCCAUCCAGCUGCCCAUCUAUCCAUCUACCUGUCCACCCAUCCAUCCACCCAUUUAUAAUGUUCAAAUUCCAUAGCAGGCUUUUUGGAAAGGAAAAAGAAGUGAAAAAUAAAAUUCUAAAAGUCUUCAAAACCAAGCUCCUCCCCCACCAAGCCUACUUUUCCUAUCUUGGAUUUUGGCUCUGUCAUCCACUGAAUUGUCCCAGCUAGAAAUCUCAGCCUGGUCUUUGCAGCUUUGCCUGCUCCCUCGCCUGCCCCGCCCCGCCCCCCACCAGCUCUCAUUCUUCCUUUCAGUCCAUUUCACCUUCCAUCACCCUGACUUCCUUUGGUGAUUUCUUCCAUUCAUCAACACCACCACCAGGGCAGGAGGGGGAAGAGACUGACUUCCUUUCUUGAUUCCAGGCCAGGACUGGACAUGGUGGGGGGAAUAAAGAGCUGUGGAACCAGACAGGACUGUUUCUAAGCCUGCCUCUGCCACCUGCCAACAGUGUGACUUUGAACAAGUUGCUUCAACUCCGAGCCUCAGCAUCUUCUUUUUUGAAAAUGGGAGUGUUGAUAUUGCUUCCAGAUGUGUGUGAGGAGGGUGGUUGAACCAGACAAUGAGGAAACUGAGAUCUGAGACUGGAACAUGCCUCUUGCCUUCCAGUUCGAUAUUCUUCAUUCUCUUGGAUUUCCAGAUGGAACGGAUUUGCUCUUCUGGAAUCUCCCAGGAGAUCCCACAGUGAGAAGAUGGCUAUCUGCAAGCCAAGAGGAGAACUCUCAGAAACCAAACCCUGCUGCUACCUUGAUCUUGGACUUCCAGCCUCCAGAACUAUGCUGCAUUUUGGACCACAGACCCAAAAGACCCCAUGUGGAGCAUGCCCCCAAAAGAUGGGAAGCAGCCUCCUCCAGACUUAUGCUGCUCUAUCAAUGUCCCUUAAGGAAAAGAGUUCCUGAUGGGGGAAGGGCCUGUGCCGUGUGACCCCGAGCAAGUGACUUAUUGCCAAGAGUGGCCAACGUCGGGCUAGUCUGAAACUGAUGAUUUUCCUGGGAUGUGGGAGCUUUAGUGCUACAAAGGGGCAAGUCGUGCUGCUGUCUCUGGACCGUGGCUUACUCCCCCCAUCUGCUGGGGACGACUGUGACGGAUUUGCCAGACAAGCAGCCUCCUGCCAUGCAAGGUCCCUCUGACGCGUGUCCUUCUGCUGUGGCCAUGAGAUCUUAACCAGAACAACCCGGAUGGCAGUGCCUGUGAGCACGAACCCCAAGGCUUUGGGAGUGGAUCGUUCUCGUAGCUAGUGACCCAUUUCCAAUGGUCUGGGGAGCUGGCCAGAGUCGCCACUUGCAUUGGUGGGAUUUUCGUUCUCCCUUGCUUCUAGACUCCCUUCAGGAAACAGAAAGGUCCUGUCUCAGAGAUUCAACUAACAGAUGAAAGAAAUGAGGCCCAGAGAAAGUAAAGACCUUUCCAUACAGCACAUCCUUGCCAGGCCCAGAAGGGAAGGGAUGUGGAGGCAGGCCACUUCUUCCCUGCGAAUGCUGUGCCCUAGCUUUCCUGGUUUGGUUACUCAGGAAGAAGUGGGGGUGGAGACGAGGAGGGGCUGGUGCCUGAGAAGGCCUGGAGACUGGCAGCUCUCUGCUAAUGACCCUCCAGGUUGAAAGGGGGCUGGAACUUAGGCCUUACUCUGGGCUUUUGCUGUGUGGCCUUGGGCUGAUUGCAUACCGUCUCUGGGUCUCAGUUUUCCUAUCUGCAAAAUAAAGAAUUUUGGGGGGUGCCUAGAUGGUUCAGUCGGUUAAGUAUCUAUCUUUGG